AGAGUUUGAUCCUGGCUCAGGAUGAACGCUGGCGGCGUGCUUAACACAUGCAAGUCGAGCGAAGCGCAUAAGUUUGAUUCUUCGGAUGAAGAUUUUUGUGA
RNAcentral lists this ribosomal RNA (101 nucleotides) under uncultured bacterium. RNAcentral describes it as "partial 16S ribosomal RNA". The record is from RNAcentral.